Molecule: ribosomal RNA, 403 nt
Filed under: uncultured bacterium
Lineage: Bacteria
Description: bacterial SSU rRNA
Rfam family: Bacterial small subunit ribosomal RNA
Source: RNAcentral
CAAGGAAUUUUCGUCAAUGGGGGAAACCCUGAACGAGCAACGCCGCGUGGGCGAAGAAGUCCUUCGGGAUGUAAAGCCCUUUUCCCUGUGAAGAAAGAAAGACGGUAGCAGGGGAAUAAGCAUCGGCUAACUACGUGCCAGCAGCCGCGGUAAUACGUAGGAUGCAAGCGUUGUCCGGAAUUAUUGGGCGUAAAGAGCGCGCAGGCGGUUUUACAAGUCAGAUGUGAAAGAGGCCGGCUUAACCGGCAAGGGUCAUUUGAAACUGUGAGACUAGAGUACAGCAGAGGAUAGCGGAAUUCCCGGUGUAGUGGUGAAAUGCGUAGAUAUCGGGAGGAACACCAGUGGCGAAGGCGGCUAUCUGGGCUGAAACUGACGCUGAGGCGCGAAGGCUAGGGUAGCAAAC